CAAGUCGAACGAGCGAGAGAGAGCUUGCUUUCUCAAGCGAGUGGCGAACGGGUGAGUAACGCGUGAGGAACCUGCCUCAAAGAGGGGGACAACAGUUGGAAACGACUGCUAAUACCGCAUAAGCCCACAGGUCGGCAUCGACCAGAGGGAAAAGGAGCAAUCCGCUUUGAGAUGGCCUCGCGUCCGAUUAGCUAGUUGGUGAGGUAACGGCCCACCAAGGCGACGAUCGGUAGCCGGACUGAGAGGUUGAACGGCCACAUUGGGACUGAGACACGGCCCAGACUCCUACGGGAGGCAGCAGUGGGGAAUAUUGCACAAUGGGGGAAACCCUGAUGCAGCGACGCCGCGUGGAGGAAGAAGGUCUUCGGAUUGUAAACUCCUGUUGUUGAGGAAGAUAAUGACGGUACUCAACAAGGAAGUGACGGCUAACUACGUGCCAGCAGCCGCGGUAAAACGUAGGUCACAAGCGUUGUCCGGAAUUACUGGGUGUAAAGGGAGCGCAGGCGGGAAGACAAGUUGGAAGUGAAAUCUAUGGGCUCAACCCAUAAACUGCUUUCAAAACUGUUUUUCUUGAGUAGUGCAGAGGUAGGCGGAAUUCCCGGUGUAGCGGUGGAAUGCGUAGAUAUCGGGAGGAACACCAGUGGCGAAGGCGGCCUACUGGG
RNAcentral lists this ribosomal RNA (662 nucleotides) under uncultured bacterium. RNAcentral describes it as "bacterial SSU rRNA". It matches the Rfam family "Bacterial small subunit ribosomal RNA", at positions 58 to 733 of the family's 1533-position model. The record is from RNAcentral.